Pelobates cultripes (western spadefoot toad) is the source of this 2889-nucleotide non-coding RNA. Lineage: Eukaryota; Metazoa; Chordata; Amphibia; Anura; Pelobatidae. The record is from the annotation of a GenBank genome assembly.
ACAAAACAAUUCACUGUUUUUUUAGGGGCCUGACAUUAUUUAACAAAUGUAAAAGUAAAAAGAACAAACAUUUAUCGAAGCAAACACAUAUAAAAUAUUACAAUAGAACAACCCCUGAAAGUAGAAUUCCCACAGAAAAAAAUUACUGGGGGGUGAGUGCCUUGUGGCUAAAGAUUGAUUAGAUUAGAAACUAAAACUUGAAACCUCAAUUUAUCCCCAGUGUUAGAUAUGAACUAAUUUGAGGAGCAUCCAUUUCUUAAAGGAAUAUUCCAAUCACCAUAACCACUAAUGAUUGAUGUAAUAGUCACAGUGCCACGAGUUCCCCAGCACCCGCCCAUUGUACGUUAUCAGCAUCAGCUGAUGAACUUUAAUUGUGCAGGCAGGGAGCUGUGCCCGGGGGAGGUGAACUCCAGGUAAAUAGUCAAACCUUAGUUCUUAGAGUGUUCCUUGCUAAAAGUCACAAUUAUGUAACACAAUUCUUGUUUAGUUAGUCCACCAUAGCCUUUUAUAUUCAGUCUGUCUCACAGGAAAAGAUAGGCCCAAGUAUUUCAUAUCUUACCACAGUACAGGAAAAAAGUACAAUAAAAGUAAUUACUUAUUGACUAUGAAGGUCUGAACGUUCAUGAUCACUAAGACGUUUUGUUUGGUGCAUUAUAGUAGAUAAAUUGUACAACGUGAAACUAAAUCAGAUCUUUAGACAAACAUAACGUUGAUGAUUACCACUUUCCUUAUGUUUGGUUUUAUGAAGUAUACAGCAGUUAAAGCCACCGAAAUAUAUAUAAUGCUGACUGUUCUGUAUUUAUAAAGUUGGUCUUUUAAAAAUAAAACUGAUAGAAUUACACUUUGAGUACAUGUAAACAAAAAACUUGAUGAAAAAAUGUGGAAAACGAGCUCCUGGAAAAAUGAAGGAAAAUUACAAUAAAUUGCAACUGUAAUCAUGUGAAACUUCUCACAUUACCCAAAAUGAAUAGUUAGUAUCUAGUGCAAAAAGCACAGCUAAAAUAGUGCAAUAUUGUUUAAAAAUGGAGCCAUGUCCAUACUGUGUGUCAGAUUGCAAUACGAUAAUCCAUUGUAAAAAUAAAUGUGGCUUCACUUUUGUUAAAUGAAUUGGACAUUUACCUAUACGUUUAUUUAGGAGUGACUCUGCAAUUUACAGAUUGUGAUUGGCUGUUGACAUAACAUGCUGUUUGUACCUUUAUCUCAUUUUAUAUAGUUUAUCGCUAAACGUCAAUGAGAGUUUGAAAACUAGGAUGUGGGAUAGGUUAAUCCACACUUCAUGUGUUACAUAAUAUGUAAAUCCUGAAACACUGUUUAAAAAUUUUAAAUAAGAAGACUCUGAAUACAUUCCAUUUUUAUAACUGAUUUUUUAAUUGCAUUUCAUGGCAGAUAUUGAUUUGAGCGAUUUAUAAGAGGUGGACUUCAAGGUAGGAAUCAGCAAUUUGCUAGAGAUGCUUUGUCCAUCAAACUCGUGGUAUCUUAUUUCAGUGGAAGUGAAGUUGGCUGGAUGAGAUAAUGCACAGAUAGGAGUACCAGAUGACCACAAACUAGCUAUAAAUCCAUAGGACAAUACUGGCCACACUUCAGAUUUCCUCACAGUCAAAGUCAAAUAACUUAAACUAAUGUUAACACUGGAUCUAUUUCUCCAGUAACUUCAUAUCCCAUAAAAGUGCCCUAUUUAAAGGACCACUAUAGUGUUAGUAACAUAAAGCUGUAUUCCUAAAACCAUAGUGUCCUUCUGCCCCUCGUUCCCCUCAUCUCCCCCACCGGCAAUGUAAAGGGUGAAAAAACCCUUGAAAUACUUACCUGAUUCCAACACAGAUGUCCCUUGGUGCUGGGUCUGGCUCCUCCACUUUCAUCAGCCUAUGGGGGUAGCCUGACGCGAACACCACAUGUGUAUUUGGCCUUGCCCAUAGGAAAAAUUGAAUCAAUGCUUUCCUAUCGGGUUUUUCAAGAUAGACAUCCUCAUACAAACCGUGAGGACGUCCAGCGUUGCUUCAUGGAGUCAAACUCUAUGAAACUGCAAGAAGCACCUCGACACAGCUACCCGAGGCAGUCAUAAUCCUGCAAUGUAAACAUUGAUGUUUCUCUAAAACUGCAAUGUAUUAAGUUGCAGGAUUAUUAGAACAGGUACAGUGCAUCCAGACAACUUCAAUGAGAUGAAGUGGUCUUUGUGUCUAUAGUGUGCCUUUAAGUUAAUGUUAAUUAUUGUGUUGGCAAAAUCAAUGCGUGUUUUAUAGCAUUUCUAUAUUAUGUGAUUGCCAAUGCCUUAUCAUGUGAAAUGUGUGGAACCAUGAUAUAUUGUGAUUUUUUUAUAUCCAUGAUAUAGUACCCAUUACACUAACACAAAACAUGGAUAAGUCUUUGUUACCCCAUACCACAGUUCAAUAAAUAUUGUAACAGAAUACCUGUUCGAGACAGAGAUGUGGAGGGAGGCUUUAGAAUGUCCACCAAUAUGCCCAUUUACAUUUAAUGUGAGUAUAAGAUUCUAAAUAUUCAAAUUGAAUUUGUGUAUUUGUCUAAUAUUCACAUAUGCUUUGAUUGUAAUACAUUAAAAUAUAAAAGUAUCCCAAAGUUUACAAAAGUAUACAGUGUUACAUCGAAGGAACAUUCCAAGCACAAUAACCACCACAGCAUGCUAGAAUGGUAAUGGUGCGAGGAGUGCCCCCACAAUGUUUGCUGCCAGCCGUCUGUCACCUUCUCCGUGAGAGCUGGAAGCUAAACUGAUGGUACAGGGCUUAGUUCAUUGAGUAAGCGCUAUGGGAUGACACUCUAAGUCAAUGAGCUUGCCCUGCACAUCAGGUUUUAGCUCAGGAGUGCGAAUCGAAGCUACAUGCAGGGGGAAGGGGCUUGUGCUUGGCCGACCCAGCUAAGUUGCCAAAACUAUUAGCC